This is a long non-coding RNA of Cicer arietinum (chickpea), 973 nucleotides long. RefSeq lists it as uncharacterized. The record is from RefSeq and is a predicted model, not a curated record. Lineage: Eukaryota; Viridiplantae; Streptophyta; Magnoliopsida; Fabales; Fabaceae.
UUAAAAUGGCUAGCCUGUGGGUGUGGUAUUUACUCUCUAUCUUUCACGGGAAAGAAAAACCUAGCCGCACCUAAUAAAAAAAAACUCUUUAGUUUAGGGGAUGUUGUCUUCCUCUUCUUGGAGCACACUAUACCUCUUUUAAUAUUUUGAAUUUGCUCCGAUCUAUUGUUAUUAAGUUUGUGUGGUUAUUUGAUUUCUUAUUUUUCAUGGCGGUUAGGUUUUUGUUCUGGUUAAUCUACUUACUUAUUAUUCUGAUUUUACAUGGCAGUAUUAUUUCUAUCAAACCAUUUUAUUCUUAUAUGAAAAUAAUUCAAGUGCGAAGAUAGUGCAUAUGAUGUUUUUACACUUGAUCUCUGAACUUCAGGUGGGAUGAUUAAGCAACAUAGGUGAUGUUUCAUUUGGUGGUGCUUGGCUUCUUCAAGAAUAAACUAACACCUAAUUCUUGAGGUAGCUUGGUACGCUGUUGACAUCGUAGGUUCUUUUUUGGCUUUCUACUUUUCCUGUUUGAAUUUGAAUGUGCUGCUAAAGUGAUUCUAUUGUUUCUGCACAAAGUUCUUCCCAAUUUAACAAAAUUCAGAUUAGGAGGAAAUGACACUGCAAUCCACUAUUAGGGUUUAGUAAUGUGGCGGUUGAAUUAUCAUCGAGAACCACCUAAUAAAUUUGUCUAUUUUUUGGGAUUUGGCUCUUCAACAAGUACAUGAAUUAUGCAGGGGAGGGGAUGAUAUCACAACCAGUGAUAUUUAUUUGAUGGUAAGUCAUUUCAAGCGACAUGACCAAAGUCAGAUACUCAUAAAAAAUUAAGUUUCUAAUGGAAAUCACUUGUGUUUAGUCUUUCGUGUGACAUAAUAUCUAUAUAGACAAAUUACAAUGUCACUUAAUGUGACACAACAACGCAUCUAACUGAGUUACUUGAUAGAGUAAAUAUUUUAACCAACCUUAGAUAUUAUGAAACAAUAGUUCUAUAUUUUGUUAA